This is a long non-coding RNA of Betta splendens (Siamese fighting fish), 9283 nucleotides long. RefSeq lists it as uncharacterized. The record is from RefSeq and is a predicted model, not a curated record. NCBI's taxonomy places the organism in Eukaryota, Metazoa, Chordata, Actinopteri, Anabantiformes, Osphronemidae. The transcript has 3 exons.
GACUUAUUAGUGCAGCAAAUUGUUUGUUCUGCAUAUAUUGAUUCUGCAUGAGUAAUAAGGACUGUUUUAUUAGUCUUUAUUUAGCCAAAGACAAAACUCAAAAGGAGAUCGGACAAUUCGCUCAGCUGCACCUAGUCUGUGGACGCUUCGUAAAAUGUUUUUAUUUACUAAAAUCCAGAGUUGCUCAGCUUAAUUUGCGACAUCUGAUUCUCCUGCAGGAAUAAUGUCAUAAUAAAAUCGAACGCUGUACGUGGGAGCGCGCACUCGGUCUGUCUAAGCAUACAGUACAGCUGCUUAUUUUGGUUUUGAACUGCCAUAACUUGGAAAUACUACUAUACUAAAUACUACAAUGGUCUGCUAAAUAAUACAGACAGACAGCCCUACUAGUCAUUUGUUAUUAUCUUGUAUGCCAAAAUAUAAAAAUGAGAUAACAACGCUGAUUGUUCAGUAAUUACUACUUCUGCUUCCACCGAGAUUCGUACCCGGGACAGAAAAACUUCAACAAUAACUAACCAUUACACCACCAAGACAUUGUAACAUUACUGUAGGUGGGCCCAUAUAACAUGGUCUUAGUACGGCGUCAUAGGGGCCAGUGUGGGGGCUGAUCACCACCUAUAGGCCAAAAAGACGCAACACACGCUCCAAGGCGGUAAAAACAAGGUGAUACCGCGCUGUAAAUGAAAACUGAUUGGGGUAAAGGCUGACACUUUUAAGUGCUACGACUGUAGCUCGGAGAAGGGAAAGUGUAACCUCCAAAAAGGUUAUAAGGCAAGUGGUGCUGAAAACCAACAAGAGUAGUCACUAAGACGGAGUCAAAGAGCAAUAAUCUCACAGAGAAGGCUAGAAAACUGCAAGCGGACAUGAUCCAGGCUCUUUAACAAAGAUUCACCUAUAUCUAACGGACAAGUCAAACAAGUUGAUCAAUGCGUGGAGAUUUCAAAAUUUAUUGUUGGUACAGCUGCAGGGCAGUUAGGUGGAAAGCUUCCAGAAGAAGGUCAAGAAUGGACAGAAGUGGUCUCUGUCUUCGACUCAAGCAUCUGUAAGUCAGGAUCUCUCAUGUCCAUCCUAAAAGGUGCCUCAGAUCGUUCAAGCAGGUAGACAAGAAGCUGCUGCUGAUGCUGCUGCUGCAAGCCAGGCUGUUCUAAAAGUAGAAGAGCAAGAAAGAGAGCAACUGGUAAUAUAGCACAUAGAAGCAGAAGGCCAAAGGAAGAUAGCUGAGCAAGAAGCAGCAGACAUAAAGCGUCGCUUGACACGAGAAGAAGAAGUUUGAAUUAAAUCACAGUUAAAACAAGAACAUUUGCCACUGCAAAAGGCUUUAGAGGAGAAAAAGACAAGAAUACAGCAUUUGGAGGUAGUAAAGAAAUUCAGUGAAGCAAGUGCAAGAAUGCUAGUGUAUGACCAAGUGCAGGAUGUAGAAGAAGAGGAGAAGACAGUAACAAUUAACAAAGUGCCUGUUUCUACAUGUCCUGUCUCCCCACAAAUAUCAUCUAAGCCAGCAGCCAAGACCUCCUUGUGGAGGACACAGUAGAGCUUGUGAAGGUGCUAGGAAGUGCUUUAACACUAGAACACCUAAAGGACGUACACCUUUACAUAUACCACUAUCCCCGGCUGGGAGUUCAGGUGACCGGCACGCUUCAGCUGGCAUCCUGCCAAGAGCCACUUUUGUUACGUAAAGAGGGCCAUUACUGUGGGGUGGGACACGAGGGUUUGCUGGCCCUGCUCCUGCCUGCAAGGCUGAACAGUUCCCAUGAGUCUAUGAGUGAAAUCCACUGUUACAAUGUUCCACCGCUAUGUGCUUGGAUUUACAAUGUGAAAGGAUGAGUGUCAUUGUUGCGGUCGCACCGAAGGAAGCAAUAAAAGACAGAAACAAUACAAUUAGACAGUUUCAGAUCUUUAUCAAAUGUGGCGAAGCUUUGUUUAUUUACAAAAAAACCUGAAUAAAGUUCACAUAUUUUUUGCACUGUAACGUCACCAAAAAUUACAGAAAAGAUGACAGUACACCCAUCUAGUUUUGCAAUAAACUAGACGGGACGUGGAUGGCCCCGCCCACUUCCAUUCAUCAGAAAGAUAUGAAAGGGGGAAUAAUAAAAUAAACGUAAUGUAAAGUAAACCGCAUUGCUGAGUUUUGUGUCUACAUGAAAGCGGGCAGAACGAUAUCCGUGUGUGUGUCACGGCUGAAAGCGGCUGGUGAAUUUCGUAGGAAAUUGCCUGUCGCGCUGCGAUGACUUUUAUGUGGUACAUGUGAAAGGGGGAAUAACGCCCCAAUGCAACUGGCUGUUGUAAGAGGAGGGUGUAGCGGGCAGAGGAACACAGGUCUAUGUCCUAGAUGCGCCCAUCCCCAGCCCCCACAGUCAGCGCUUACGUUUGCGACGGGACGUGGAUGGCCCCUCCCACAGAUAUGAAAGUGGGAAUAACGAAAUAAACAGAAAGUAAAGUAAAACGCUUUGAAGAGUUUUGUCUACAUCACAGCGGGCAAAUCAUAUGAGAACGUUUUAAUUUUGUUUGUAAAUAAAAAUAAUGUUUGCCCUGUUCAAACCCGGGGAAUAAAAACGAUUGUGAUUCAGAAAGCGGCUGAUCAACUUCGUAGGAACACAUUUUAUAUGGUACAGUGAAAGGGAGACUAAUAACCCAACGCAGCCGAGGCACUCACUCACAUGCACACUCGCCUCCCUCAGGUUGCAGCACUUAAAAAACAAGAACACAAUACACAUAAACAAAAUGCUAAAUUAAUUUCACCAAAGUUAUAACAUUACUUAAAUCCUAACUUUAACUAUAACAUUCUUAUAUACUCCUCUUAUAAAAGCAAAACUGUCCAUCACAAUACGACAUUCAGCCUAAUACUGUACAUGCUGCUUGUGGAACUGCUGGACAGGACACACACACAAAAAAGAAGAAAAAAAAAGAUAUGUUGAACAAGUUUCGCUGCGGUGUAACCAAAAAUGCGUUGCCGGUGCGUUGCCGGUGCUGCGCUAGGUGGCGUUAAUGAGUAUUGCUAUUUUUGUUUAUUACUGCGGCUGUGUUUGAUGCAUGUGAAAGACCUUUAUAGAGCAGUAAAGCCAGCUGAGACUUUACUUCUUAAUUUGUUGUAUAGCACAUAUAUUUCAGAUAUUUCAUCCAUCCAUUUCCAAGCCGCUUAUUCCCAUAUGUCCAUACGUCAUGGGGUGCUGGAGCCUAACCCAGCUGGCUAUGGGCAACAGGAGACAUACAACCAUUCACACACUCACAAUGGAGAAGGCCAAUCAAUCUAAUGCUCGUCUUUGUGGGGGAGGAAGCCGGAGAACCCGGAGAGAACCCUGAGAGAACCCAUGCAAGCAAGGGGAGAACAUGCAAACUCACACAGAAAGGCACCAGGGCAUCAAACCCAGAACCUUGGCGGUGAGACGGUGCUACCCACCGCACCACCAUGCCGCCCUUACGUCCAUAUUCCUUCCAAAAACCUACAAAUCCCAGUGUCCUCAAAUUUGGGGACCAUUUUUCAUUUGUGAAUUUAUACAUCCCACAUAGAAGUAGCUCAGCAACACAGUUGUUGUAGAUUUUUAUUGUAAUUAAUGCUGAGUCUGUACAGGGUACAUUUUUUAGUAGAAACCCCAACCUCCAAGAUUAACCCCCUCCAUUAACCUGUACUAAUCCUGCUGCACUAUUAGACAUGUAAAAACUAAUACUUCUCUCAUGUCUCACAACUUCAAAACAUAAUCCUUCAGGAACAUGCCGGGACAGUGAAGGAUUAGUCUUUGCGAGUGUCACUGUUAUCCGUGUACCCACUUGCUACAGUAUGACUCAGAGUUGUUGUUCGCUUUUCUACAGCUGAUGACUGAGGUGGUUUUAUGUGUGUGAUGACUAAUGCUGGGAAUGCCCAGGCCACUAGAAAUGUGAUUGUUUCUCACGUCCCUUGCUGUGGGUUUUAUGAGCAGUUUUUAUAGUAAUAUCAUUUACUGUACAGUACUUCGCAAUUGUUUUGGGUUGUUUUUUUCCAGUCUCAGUAUUGUUUAUGCUUUAUUGGCUGAUCAACACAUCCUAUACAUGAUAGAAGGUGAAAACACAAAAUUCUUAUGAUAAAAGUAUAUUAUGAUUAUCACACAAUAAAAUAUAUGUCUAAGGGCUAAAUUAAAACAACAUCACUGAACAAACAAAUACAAAAACAAACAGAAUCCUUCUCACAGCAGCUACAGAACACUGAGCCUUCAAUUUAAUGGACAGAUCCUUUCAUCCAAAACAAGAGGAAAACACCCAAGUGAUGCAACCAUGCAACUGCACACCAUUCUGUUGUAAUGUCCUCACAGGUUUAACACACGAAUUAACGAAUGGAUGAGUGUCUGACAGGUUUUUAUAAUUGAGUUUAUCAUCAUAGUCAAACCAUUAAAGAAUGUGUAUACUGUAAGCUGUGAAGAAUAGGUUGCUCUUUAGUUUUGAUCAGUGAGUAAAUAACAAAUUAUUUCUGCAAUUAUUUUCUGUAAAUUUGUAUACAUUUGUUCAAACUUCUACUUGGUCCAAAACAAGACAAUUUGCUUGAAUUAGAAAGUUCUGCAUCCAGCUAAUAGUUCUGGCAAAUGUCAAAAAUACCACUAGUGAACAUGUUAACUCUAAUUUAAUGUAAACCUACUUGUUUCAUUUUAUCAUAAUGACAAACUCAAAUGUGCUAAUUACUACUACGGGUGGGCAGAACAGCUGAAACUCUCUGUAGCAAAAGUUCAAGUACAGACAGAACCAAAUAAACUUUGAUUAAGUCUCUCAAAUGACAUCACUGGAGCUAAGCCAUAAAAACCUUCAUCCCCUGCUAGUAACACUGCAAUGCAUUACAUUGUAGGUAAUGUAGUUAGUCACGUUUUAAAGGACAGUGAGUAGCAGUGACUCAACUGACUGAUCAGUUCUGAUUUCUUUAUAUGACACUGGACAAUUAACAGUUUUGAAGCUUCUGCAAAAAAUGUGAUUGUAAGUUCAUCUUUUGUGUUUUUUAAGACAACAUAAAAUGUACAUAAGACAAGGGUUGCAUUAUAAUGUUCUUGUAACUGUUACACACAACUAGCUUAUAAACCACUUCCUUUAUCAUCAUAGGAAGCCAACAGCUAUGAUUGACUAAUGGGAAGUACUGGAAGGUUUUUUACAGCUUUAACAUGGAUGAGAUUAAAACUUGCAUGAAACAAUGUCACUUCAAAGCAACAUUCAUUAACUUAUGCAGGGUAAACCCUAGAGCCUUCAGACCCCAGACAUUAAUUAUAUUGUGUCUUAUGAGAUCCUCUGGUUAAGCCAAGAGCUCUUGGCUUUAAACAUUGUGAAUCACAGAUCUAUUUCCAAACAGUUUGUGAUUCCAUUAUCAGCACAAUAGUUAUUUAUAUUUGUAGCAUUUGUGAGUAGGUUUUUUAGACAUCACCUGCUCUGAACCCUGAAGCAGACAGUGGAUUCAGGUGGUCCCCACUGCUUUGUAUACAGCCCUGUGCAUAAACAGCUGGAAAUUUCAAACCCGGACUGACUCGCUGAGACUCCUUUUCGUUAAACACGAGGAUGCUCGGCUACGGCUGCUGAUUCUUGUGACCAGCUUACUUCCUACACUUGCCCUUCCUGACGGAAGCCCGGACCUGCAGGCUGGACCAUCUGAGGCUGACCAGGAGUUUGCAGAGGUAUGUAUCACAUUUGCUGCAUUUACUUUACUAGUGGUGCUCCAAUUUAUUACUAUUAUUUUUAAUAAACAGUACUACAAUCACCAUUAAUUGCUACUGUAGUAACUUUUUUGUAGAUUCGAUUAGAUCAAUCUAAACUAAUAAAUGCUUGUGUAUUGUUAUGGAUUGUGCUUCAAAUUAGUUUCAACUUCACUGACUGCUGGUUUUAGUCUUCAGGUUCUGGUAACUUUUGUGGACUAUAAUCUUUUGUCACCAUAAUUUUUUUAUCUUCAAGUAUGGAAUCAUGUACCUUGUAAAUGAUGCCCCUGAGCUCCCUAACGAAUUACGUCGCACAACUCUACUUUAAGUCUCACUAGAGCCACAUCUGAAGAUGAAAAACACCAGGAGCUGUGAAGUUUGCACAACCUACAUUAUCUUGUCAUAUUAGACAGUCAAAUCGGUCUAAGGUCUGCAAGGGAGCAGCUGCGGCUUAACAUUAAAUGACAUUCAAUCCUGCACAUGCUUAAACAUCAGCUUGUUGUUGGAAUUUAUCAGCAGAUUAUGGAAAACUAGAUAACAGCUUUGUUGCGCACGUAACAUUUUCUUCUCCGUCUGUCAUCUUUCUUCAGUAAUGCACACGUAGGAUCUUACUUAGUUGUCUCUUCAUUUAACAAGUGCAUGGCACAACAUCUCUCACAUGCAUUCGCGCCACCAACAUCCUUACAGAAAAAAAAAGGGGAAGUGCCGUCACCACAUCACAACAGAUCUCUACAAAAUAAAGUGACAAUAGCCUCAACAAAUAUAGUGCAACAGAAAAUGUCCACACAAAAUGACAAACAAAUACUACAACAACACAUAUGAGAACACAAGUCCAAUAAGCUUCAUUAAUGCCUCGGCGAUCCAUCAGAUAGGAACUGGAAUGUGAUGACUGCGCAGCUGACCCUAACAAUUAUAUGAGUAGAGCAACAUGUCUGUACUGUAUUGGUUUGAGAAAAUGUUUGGAAUGUAGUCAUUUCAGUAGAUGGACAUUUGCAUUAUGCUUUAGCUACUGUAGCAUAACAGUACUGACAUUGUGACCUGCAAAAUUAUUUCAAACCUAACUAAGCAUUUGAUUGACAAAUCUCUGCACACAUCUGCACACUGUCAUAUAUAUUUUUUCUUUAGGCUUAUCUGCGUAACUUCUACAGCUACCAGCCCAAUUCAGGGUGACCCAAAAGGAAUGCAGGCACAGGCCAAGGCACUGACUUGAUCACUGGUCUGUGCUACAUAGUCAAGACAAUGCAGCGCUUCAUCGACUUGCCUCCCAGUGGUGAAUUGACCAAAGAGACUCUGGCGAUUAUGAAGAAGCAGCGUUGUGGUCUGUCAGACUUGGAGCAGUUCGAAGACAUUAUUCACUGGACGAAGAUGACACUCAGCUACAGUUGCAGUCAAACGUGUCGGCUCAGUGCAGACCACGGGGAUGGCUUACUGUUUGAUGGCAAAGGAGGGAUCCUGCCUUAACCCUUCCUGCAGGGGUCUGGCAUUGGUGGGGAUGUACUCUUUGAUGCUGAUGAAGAGUGGAGCUCACAUUCCAAAGCACAGGUUUUAGCCUUCUUGCUGUGGCCGCUGUCCGUGAGUUCGGCCAUGCGCUCGGCCUGCCCCACUCCUCUGACCCUGGAGCUGUCAUGUACCCGGCGUACAACUUUGUUCACAUGGCGUGAACCUAAACUCUGUGUGGAAGUUGAUUCCUUUCCAAAGCAGACAAAUAUAAUAUAAUGAGAAACCCAUGUGACUACAGUAUGUUGUAAAGAUUCAAAAAUUGCACAUUUUAUUGUAAACAUGUUUGCAUAUUAGUGUGGUUAAGUGACAAAUGAUGCAGAAAGAUGAGUUUGUAUAGACAACUGGGGAAGUGAGGACACAAAACUAUAAACCACAACAUCCUCUUUGCUUUGUCAUUGUUACACUGCAACAGUGAAGUCAUCAGUAAUUUCUGCUGCAUGUCUGAGUAACAGUCUUUUUUUUACUUUGCGUCAUCAAUGUAAGCAAAGAUAAUGUCACCUGCUCCUUACAGCAAAUGUGUAAUGGUUAAAAUACAGACCCCUAAGAGCCGAGGGCUUGCUGAUAUAUUGAAUAUAUAGCUCAAUUGAUCUGAAGGAAAUCAAUGUAGUUAUAUUAAGAACUGAAUGCAUAAACAGGCCUCCGAUGGGAAUCAAAACUAGAUCUCCUACUCUCGAGUCAAGGACUUACCAUUGAGCCAUAGUAUAUGAGUGGUGGAUGAGAAAAAGCUGAAGCAGUUGAAAGAUUUUCUACGAAAGCUAAUGAUUUUGACGUAUGCUUUAAUUCUGAACGGAUUUGAGGGAUGUCUGUGCUUAACUGGUAAAGUUAAAACAGUGUCAGAAACUAUCCAAUCAAAAGCAGAAAACAUGUUAAUAAGCAAUUGAAUAGCUUUUAUUGUGAAAAGAUUUUGAGGGAGUGUGGGUUUUUAUUAUACUGUAAAAUCAUCUAAAUAACUAUUUGUAAUUAAUCAGUUGAAACAUUAUUGAAACUACCUGAUGAGUUGAAUGUAUAGCUGAUCAGAUCUGCAAAGAUAAAGCUGCAGAGCUGAAUGUGCACAAAUAAAACAAAAGCAGUUUGAUUUUAAUAAAAAAAUGUUUUGCACAUGACUACAGCCCUGUAAAUCCUUAUUCUGAAUUUUGUUAAAAGACUUGUUCUAGUCAGGUUUUGAACCAGUAUAGCCUGUAUCAGAAUCUUGAUCCUUCACCACUCAGCCACACUAGCUGCUUAACACACUGCUCAGAGGAGCAGGUCAGCUCAAUGACUGUAGUGAAGCUGAUUUCCACUCUAACUUAACAGGCUUGUUACAGCAAAACCACAAGGGUUAUCACAAAAAUAACUUCACUUUAUAAAUCCCAAGGCUUCAGUGAGCAACUGGUGUGAGUUUAAAGUGUGUGGAGUGAAAAUUGAUUUAAUCGAUUUAAAAAUUCUAAUCCUCCUUCAUUUUUCCAGAGAAGUCUUACGGAUAAAUGCAUUAGAGUCUAUGGGAGGAUUUCUGGAACGUUCUGUGCUUUGAGGCAGAUACAGACUAAAGUGUAGGUCUGAGGGCUUAACCACGCACAUUAUUAGAAACACAGAGAAAAGUUCUGUCUUAAAGAUUAGAAAAACAAUACAGUGAAGUAUGCUUUCAAACCUAUGAACAGUUAACCUUAUUAGGAAGAGAUCUCAUGUGUAGUUAAGGUAUUUGAUUAAUUUUCACUCCAGAUGGAGUGCAGGUUACAUCUACAGACAUUCUAAAUAAUCCCUCUUUUGUUGGUGUUAACUUCAGCUCUGCUGUACUCCUAUCAGCGGCUGCUGAGGGGGGGGCUGCAACUGAGGCCCUCAUGCUACAUGACAGCUUGGUUCCCUAUGUGAUACGACCUUCAGUGAUGCAUCUGACCUGUCCUGUACAGCUCAUGUGUCUUCUGGUCCUGAUGAGAGGAACUGACUGACGGCUGACUGACGGUAAGCGUAUCGCGUCACUUCCGGUUACUGAGGUUUGCUGCCGCUGUGUGUGUACAGCGUUACUCUCCGCUCUUUUCUAAAUAUUAUCGUUUUAUAUCCGAUAGCGACUGCUAAAAGUUUCAAAACAAGCUUGUAACACUCAAGCAUCUUUUCCUUUCAUUAAACGUCCUGCUAAUUUACACUGUUAUCUAAGUGUUUUCUCCGCUAGCGUA